Molecule: ribosomal RNA, 460 nt
Filed under: uncultured bacterium
Lineage: Bacteria
Description: partial 16S ribosomal RNA
Rfam family: Bacterial small subunit ribosomal RNA
Source: RNAcentral
CCUACGGGAGGCAGCAGUGAGGAAUAUUGGUCAAUGGGCGCGAGCCUGAACCAGCCAAGUCGCGUGAGGGAUGAAGGUCCUACGGAUCGUAAACCUCUUUUAUAAGGGAAUAAAGUGUGGCACGUGUCCCUUUUUGUAUGUACUUUAUGAAUAAGGAUCGGCUAACUCCGUGCCAGCAGCCGCGGUAAUACGGAGGAUCCGAGCGUUAUCCGGAUUUAUUGGGUUUAAAGGGUGCGUAGGCGGGUUUUUAAGUCAGUGGUGAAAGUUUGGGGCUCAACCAUAGAAUUGCAGUUGAUACUGGGAGGCUUGAGUAUAGUUGAGGCAGGCGGAAUGCGUGGUGUAGCGGUGAAAUGCUUAGAUAUCACGCAGAACCCCGAUUGCGAAGGCAGCUUGCCAAGCCGUGACUGACGCUGAUGCACGAAAGCGUGGGUAUCAAACAGGAUUAGAUACCCGUGUAGUC